RNAcentral lists this ribosomal RNA (254 nucleotides) under uncultured bacterium. Its description in RNAcentral is "partial 16S ribosomal RNA". It matches the Rfam family "Bacterial small subunit ribosomal RNA", at positions 524 to 776 of the family's 1533-position model. The record is from RNAcentral.
UACGUAGGUGGCAAGCGUUGUCCGGAUUUACUGGGCGUAAAGAGCGCGCAGGCGGUCGUUCAAGUCGCGUGUGAAAGCCCCCGGCUCAACUGGGGAGGGUCAUGCGAUACUGAUCGACUCGAAGGCAGGAGAGGGUAGUGGAGUUCCCGGUGUAGUGGUGAAAUGCGUAGAUAUCGGGAGGAACACCAGUGGCGAAGGCGACUACCUGGCCUGUUUCUUGACGCUGAGGCGCGAAAGCUAGGGGAGCAAACGGG